This 2693-nucleotide long non-coding RNA is filed under the name Mytilus galloprovincialis (Mediterranean mussel). Lineage: Eukaryota; Metazoa; Mollusca; Bivalvia; Mytilida; Mytilidae. The record is from RNAcentral.
ACUUCCGGGUUGGUUGCUUUCGUUGACCUGUUGUUGAUGGAAAAUAUCAGCAAGUUUGUAAGAAAACAUGGUAAUAUAAGACAGUAGAUUGCCUCAAAUAUAAACAUUCGAAAAGAGAUAAUAGUCCAUUUUCGUUUAAAUAGACCCCUGGGACGGAAUAUACGGGAAAUUGUCCACGACAAGUAUUUUAACGUGGUUCUACCAUGUUUGUUAUUGUAAGAUAAUGUAUUGAUUAAUUUUGGAAAAUCCCUUACCUUUGAGGUUAUUCCUUAAAAUUUUAAUAAUAUUAUUAUCCUUAAACAAGGCUAAGAAAAAGUGUAAGUAGGAUACUGUGAUAUUCUUGCCUACAGUUUUUAAAUAAUAUGCUUUGAAAAACAUAUAUUUUUAUUUUAUUUUUUAGAGAUCUUUAAUUAACUUGUAUUAUUAUUGAUGCAGGCUACAGCUUGACUUAUCAUAUUAAAUAGUAUAUUGUCACUCUUUGUAUUCAAUCAUUAUUCAUCUAACUGAAAACUUUGUUGUCAUAACUUAAACUUAUACACACGUGACAAAAUAAACAAAAAACUUAGUCAACAAACAUAUGUAAAUGAUAAGAAGAAAGCAUCUAUAACUAAAACAAACUUAUAUAUAUAAUUACAUGUAUAAAUGAAUAAACAAUGGAUGUACAUAAUAAAGUCAUUGUCAGAAAAUAUAGAUUUAUUUGUAUGUGCUUUAGAAACAAGACAUUAAGCAAGGCUCACUGAGCUUUUUCGCAGCAAGUACAAAUAAAUUUGAUAUUUUCCGACAAUGUACAUUCUUUGUACAUAUAUUGUUUUUAUACUGAAUUUAACUCCCAAUACUUGAAACUUCAGUUAUUUAAAAUAUCUAAAUCUUAGUUUCUUAUUUUUGAAAGAAAUCAAAAAGUUUAAACAUGCACUGUGACGAGGAUCCCAAAAUGAACUGGUACGGAAAAAGAAAUAUGAUCCACAUUAAUGCCUGCUCAACAUGGAAAAGGGCUACCUGGAGACUUUAUUUGUACGAGUACAAAUAAAGCAAAACAUUAUUUUUGUACCUGCUAUUUGUGCAUUAGUUAGCUGAUUGCAUAAUAAAUACAUAUAUAAUAGUUUAUAAUGGCCUACAUGUAUUUGCCAAUUACCAAUUUAAUUCUGUUUUUUUAACAUUUUUAACCCAAUUUGUUUCUUUUUUCCAACUUUAGACUGGUUUUAAACCAGGGGUAAUGGGAACCUGUCUCUGUCACUAAGUCAGAUAAGUUGAAAGUGAUGCAUUGUUCAUUUAUGCAUUUUAAUCAACUUUUAAUAAAAAAAAUGAUUUUCAUUUCAAAAGUUUUAACCUUUAGAAAAGAUUGAAUUAGAAUUUAAGGAACAAAAAAAAACUGAAAGAUUACCAACACUACUGUACAUACAAAUUAAUUUGCAUUUUCUGCUUUCAUGUUCAUUCAUGAUCAGUUUCAUUGAAACUAGUUCAAAAUGAUUACAGGGUCAAUUAGGGUAUUGGCAAAUCAUUUACAUGUAGACUAUAUAUAUUGAAUAUUCCUUUAGAGUAAUAAAAUAAGUUUUAUAAUGCAAUUGAUGCUUUCUACCUGUUUUGUUGUGUAGAGAAUAUAUAUAUUUCAUUUGUGCGUUUAUAUUAUCAGCCCAAGUCACAAAAAUCUUCUAAACAAUUUUAAAAUAACCAAACAUUUCAUUCACAACUUACAUGACUUACAAAAUUUAAAAAAAUCCAACAAAGCAUCUUUCUGUGCCCUUCAGACCUAUUCUCAUACAUAUCUUUAUGUCCUUUUGUCCACAUAAAACUGUUUAAAGUAAGUAAAUUUAUUUAAAUUCUUCAUCAUGUUCAUAACUUUUGUUUUAACAUGUCUAAGAGCAGGUCAAAACAUGAGCUCUGGUGAGCUUGUUAACAAAUUUUCACAAAAGUUUGCUGUAACCUGGUCUUAACAGUAUUCAAAUGAUUUGGUGUAUCAUUUUUUUUUCAAAAUAUAUAUAUAUACAAUUUACAGAUCUAACAUUGUUGGGUUGAUGUUUAGACGAGUUGUAGAUACAUUAUGUACACAGCCAUGUAUCACCAUCAUUGAUGGCGAUCCGAUGGAUACAUCUGUUGUAGAGUUGUCACUGACUCAGACGUACUUAUAAAUACAAUUAUACAAUUGUAUAUACAAACAUCCUGCCACGUUUGUUGAAUUUUUCAUCAUGUUUCUUCCUUCACACUUGCGCUGUGUGAUAGCCUAAGUUGAUGAGAGAUGUUGUGGUAAAGGUCACUGCAUAUGGAAAAAAAGUUGGUGAACAUGGUGAAUAAGGAUACAGAUUGACAACAAUUCAAUAGUACAUUGUAGUUCAUUUCUGAAUAUUUGUAUGAUACAAUUUUAUUUUGAGAGAAUGCGGUAGUCUAUGUACACAUAUUGUAUAGCAAAACAUAGUCAUUCAAGACAGAAGUAUAAAAAAAAAACAUAUUCUUUUUUUAAUUUGAAAGAUCAUACAACUCUUAACUGUAAAAGAAAUGCAAAUAAUAUUAAUUUAAUGCUCUGUUUUUCAGAAUUUAGAAUAAGCAUAACUGUAUAAAUGAAUAUCUACAAAAAUGCCACGAGGGAAGACUCCAAACGGCCCACUACCUGCAUCAGAGGCCAGCAAUGGUAGCCUUGUCUCAAUUGAAAGCAGAGAACUUCCUUAUUUUUAUAGCAAUUUUAGCAAUACAGAUGAGGU